CUGAAAGCCGAAGCUGACCUGGACUCCUACCCUCCCCUCUACCAUCGUUGCCCUCUCCACUACCAUCUUUGACCCUUUGACCCCUGAAGGCCACAGCAGCUGGACUCACAACAACAACUUGAAGAUGUCAACAGUGCUGCAGAAAGCAAUCUCAUGCAGCGGAGAAUGCUAAAGCUUCAGCUGACAGAGCUGUGACGAGACGCGCAUUAAGCCCGGAGGAAAAGGGAGGGUGAGCAAAAGAAUGCUGACCUCUGAGAAGAGCCGAACAGCAGAGCUGCAGAAGGCCGUGGACCAAAGUAAGGACAACAUCAAUAGACUCCAAUCUGACGUGGAAGGAAAAGACUCUGAGGUUUUUGCCCUCAGUAAGAGCUCAAGGCAUCAGAACAGAAAUUGAGCAUGGCUCCGGAGGAGCUGGCUGCUAAUUGAACUCAUCAGUCAGACUUGGAGUUUCACGUACAGGACUUGAAAUCAGGCGGAAGCUUGCUAGAGCAGGAGGUCGCCAGACCUGACGCAAAGCUCCAACAGCAGGAGCAAGCCCUGAAGGAGCUACAGAAGCAAAAGGGUCAAGUUACAAGGAGAAGAUGCAGGCAGCUGCAACAACGGAUGCAAACAGACCCAAAGAGGAGGGCAGGACCCCAGGGCAGGCUUCAGGCCGCUGGUUUACCUAAACAACAGAACAGGAAGGUGAUGAACACAAACAUACACCAACACACAAACACACACUUCUGCAUGCGCCAACUUAGAAUGAAGAGAAACACACACAUGAACACUUAUGCACUCGUUGAGUGAGUGAAAACUGAUACACACCCAUGCACCAAAAUCAAAAUGUUGAUUAAAUUCACUAAGAAGUGACACACAAUGCUCCAGCUGCUGCAAUGAAGAAUGCUUUACUGACAAAGGCUUAAUGCUGCACACAACAAAUUCAAAUACAGAAUCUGCUACAAUAAUAAGCCCAGAGGGCAUUUGUGUGGUCUGGGGAGCAGACUCAGGAGCGGUUUGGGUAUGAAAACGAUGCCUGUGUGAGAUAUCUGGGG
Molecule: long non-coding RNA, 1034 nt
Organism: Astatotilapia calliptera (eastern happy)
Lineage: Eukaryota; Metazoa; Chordata; Actinopteri; Cichliformes; Cichlidae
Source: Ensembl